Molecule: long non-coding RNA, 893 nt
Organism: Perca flavescens (yellow perch)
Lineage: Eukaryota; Metazoa; Chordata; Actinopteri; Perciformes; Percidae
Exons: 3
Source: RefSeq, a predicted model, not a curated record
GUUCCUCUCGCCGCCACUGGGUGGCACUGCUGUACACACAGGGAUUAACGUUAGUGGAAACGGGCUACAGGAAUUACGCAUUUGUAUUGAAAAGAAAAAGAAGAGAAAACUACUGCAAUGACACUGAGGAGGACGGUGAAGGCACAAACUUUUAAAACAAGUCGUGGAAUGAAAACAGCGAGGCAGUGGGAGAAAAAGUUAAAGUGACCGUGGUUCUGGGCUGAUGCUAGCUAGUGCCGCUGCUGACGGGUUAAUUAACCUGCGCCACCAGCAAGCUAGCUAGCUAAAGUACUCCACUUCGCGCUCGUUUUACGUGGUCGGGUCUAACCUGAAGAAUUAACUAAUACCAUCGUAUGGCAGAUAGCUAUAUCAGACCUGCUCACUGGCCUGGAAUAAAGUCUGGCGGUGGAUGCUUCUGCACAGAGGAGGAAAAAACACUUGAUUAAAGCACAUGAAACGGGAGAAAUUAGAUGCAUUGUGAAGACAUUGCCCAAGUACCUAUUUUCACUUCCCAACACAAGGAGGUCAUCCACAAACGGGUCCUCGUCCAGAACAGUUAGGUACACAGGGGGGUAGUCAGCCAGUCCAGGUCACAGCUCUUAAUCACACAUUUUAGUUCAGUUCACUCCUCAGUAAUUUCCACUCUGUCUCACUCAGCUCUCCUCCUUUCUUCUCUCUACUCCUUUUGUUCCCAGUUCAAACCUGCUUUCCUUUUUUUUCCCCUCCAAAACCCCAAUCACCUAAUUAAUCCCAGCCUCUCCUUGUUGGAAGAGGAAGUCCAUAAAAGGCUCGGGGGUGGAGCCAACGGGCCGCAAUAUACCUCCCUUCGAUUACCACUCCCCUCACCUCUCCCUGCAAUCUACCACAGUAGCCUGUUUUGUAUGUUGUUUUUA